This 262-nucleotide long non-coding RNA is filed under the name Ananas comosus (pineapple). RNAcentral describes it as "long non-coding RNA (ACOM_LNC037242)". Lineage: Eukaryota; Viridiplantae; Streptophyta; Magnoliopsida; Poales; Bromeliaceae. The record is from RNAcentral.
UUAUUCUUUUUUUUUUGUCCAAAUGUACAAAAUUUCAUCUCUCUUUUUUUAAAAAAAAUAUACGAAAUUGAUCACGUCGAGCAAUACGAUCGAAUCGAACGAAGAUGGAGAAUCCAAGCAGAACCCGUCCAUUUUUUUUUUAUUAUCAUUUUUAUUGUUAUUUUUUUUUGUCACGUUUUGUUCAAAUACGCAGGAUUUAAUCGUGUCAAGCCUAUCACGAAGAUGGCCGCUCGAUUAAUUCUUUCGACCAUGUCGAGCCUAU